Molecule: ribosomal RNA, 253 nt
Filed under: uncultured bacterium
Lineage: Bacteria
Description: partial 16S ribosomal RNA
Rfam family: Bacterial small subunit ribosomal RNA
Source: RNAcentral
UACGUAGGGGGCAAGCGUUGUCCGGAAUCAUUGGGCGUAAAGCGCGUGUAGGCGGCUCGAUAAGUCUGCUGUGAAAGUCCAAGGCUCAACCUUGGGAUGCCGGUGGAUACUGUCGAGCUAGAGUCCGGAAGAGGCGAGUGGAAUUCCUGGUGUAGCGGUGAAAUGCGCAGAUAUCAGGAGGAACACCAAUGGCGAAGGCAGCUCGCUGGGACGUGACUGACGCUGAGACGCGAAAGCGUGGGGAGCAAACAGG